Molecule: ribosomal RNA, 339 nt
Filed under: Triticum aestivum (bread wheat)
Lineage: Eukaryota; Viridiplantae; Streptophyta; Magnoliopsida; Poales; Poaceae
Description: partial small subunit ribosomal RNA
Source: RNAcentral
UCGACUGCCGCGCUCCUCUUCCUCGGCGCCUGGGCCGCCAGCCAUGCCCUCACCGCCCGCCUCGGCUUCACGCUCUCCUGGAAGCUCGUGCUGGCCACGCAGCUCUUCUGCUGGACCUGGCAGUUCCUCGGCCAUGGACUCUUUGAGAAGAGAGGGCCGACGGUGAGAGAACUUCCUGAGGUGUUCCUCAUGGAGCCAUUCCUCAUCCUGCUGCAGAUACUCAACAAACUGUUUGGCUAUGAGCCAUACCCUGGAUUCAGCAAGAACGUGGAUAAGAAGAUGGAGGCCGAUCUCAGUCUUAGGAAGAGCAGAGAACUCAAGCAGAGCAAGAUGAACUGA